ACAAAAAACCAACAAAACAAAAACACUCCCUUGUUUCAAUGUGCUGAAAUGGCUUUUCUGACUGUGAUUCAGAUUUCCAGGUUCCGUGGAUCUGUAGCAGUCCAUGAGGACAGAUGGCAAUCCGUCUUGAGCCUUACCAGGGAUCUUUGACCAACACUACGUCUUUGGAGUUCACUCAGAUGCCACAGUGUGGUAACAUUCCACCAAUUUCAACCGGAGAAGAUUCGAGACGCAGUGGAAAACAGGCCUGGAUGAGAAGCCAGCCCUGCCCUGGACCCCGUGGUUCUUCUGAGAACAAGGCCUGGCCCUCCCCUUACCCUGUGGCCACUGGCCCUGGGGCCUGGGCCCCUUCUCAGAUCUGUCUCUCUGAAGUGCUUCCUCCAGCAGGCUCACUGAGGGCUCUGUGGCAUUUCUGGAAUGUCCUUCCUCCCAGCCUGGCUGUGCUCCCCCUUUAGCAGGAAGACUGGGAAAUAAAGAGGCCCAUUUAAGCCUCCCAGGGCCAAGAGAGCACA
Mesocricetus auratus (golden hamster) is the source of this 512-nucleotide long non-coding RNA. RefSeq lists it as uncharacterized. The transcript has 2 exons. The record is from RefSeq and is a predicted model, not a curated record. NCBI's taxonomy places the organism in Eukaryota, Metazoa, Chordata, Mammalia, Rodentia, Cricetidae.